This is a long non-coding RNA of Herpailurus yagouaroundi (jaguarundi), 1034 nucleotides long. RefSeq lists it as uncharacterized. The transcript has 4 exons. The record is from RefSeq and is a predicted model, not a curated record. Lineage: Eukaryota; Metazoa; Chordata; Mammalia; Carnivora; Felidae.
AGCAACGGCGGCGGAGGCGGAGGAGGAGGAGGAGGAAACAACAACUCUCAGGCAGCGGCUACGGCCGCCGCCGCCUCCGCCGCGGAUCCCUCCGCCGCAGAAAGGAGUCCGCCGCCUUCGCGGCCCGGGCUUGGCCCGGUCCUCGGCCCGCGCCCCCGCCCCCCGGCGCAAAAAAGAGUGCCUCCGGCCCCGCGCCCAGCGCCCCCGCGCCCAGUGUGACGAGACCCCUGCCCUUUCCUCCCCGGCCAAAGUUUGGUUUGUACUCACAAACCAUAGCUAAAGUGGAACUUGCAAGUUGAAGUCCAACCAGUACCAGAAUUUGAUUGCAAGCAAUGAAAAGAAACUCUGCCUAAUUAAACAGAGAAGAAAUUUGUUGGAAGAAUACAGGUUAGCUCACAGAAUCAAAAGGAAAGCUGCUGAGCAGCCCCAGGAACGGCAGACCUAGAGCAGUUCUAGGGAUUAGGUAAAAAGGAUCAGUGGACAAUGUCUGCGGGAAGCUCACUGGAAUGAAUCUACACCCUGUCUCAGCAAGAUUCUGCUCAGGAUCCAGAUUCCCAGAAUGAGAGUUCACAAGGCCACACCUUGACUGGGACAUUCUGAACAUCUUCAUUGAAAUUAUGACGAAGAAGGAGUUGGAAAGACAUAGAUCUCCAGAGCCCUUAAUCUCAGAUCAGUCGUGAGAAAGACAUCAAACAAAUCCAAAUGGGGGACAUUCUGCAAAAUAACUCACCAGUACUCCUCAAAACUAUAAAGGUCAUCAAAAACAAGGAAACUCUGAGAAAUUGUCAUAGCCAAGAGGAGUCUGAGGAGAUAAUGACAACUAAAUGCAAUCUAGUAUCCUGGAUGAGAUCCUGGAAUAGAAAAAGAACAUCAGCAAUGUGAACAAACCAAACUGUCAAACACUGAACCAGUGGAAAAUGAAUGUACUUCCAAAAUCAUUUCCCUGAUCCACUGCAAACAGCUUGAUCACAUUGGAGAAUGUGACCCAUGCAGUUGCUGAAGCGUGUUUUCCCACUAUACCUCAUGCAGAAAAA